This 468-nucleotide ribosomal RNA is filed under the name uncultured bacterium. RNAcentral describes it as "partial 16S ribosomal RNA". It matches the Rfam family "Bacterial small subunit ribosomal RNA", at positions 28 to 507 of the family's 1533-position model. The record is from RNAcentral.
GACGAACGCUGGCGGCGUGCUUAACACAUGCAAGUCGAACGGACAGGCCCUGCUCUUGUGGGGUGCUCGAUUGCCGAACGGGUGAGUAACACGUGAGUAACCUGCACCUGUCUUUGGGAUAACUUUAGGAAACUGGGGCUAAUACCGGAUAGGAGCUCCUGCUGCAUGGUGGGGGUUGGAAAGUUUCGGCGGUUGGGGCUGGACUCGCGGCUUAUCAGCUUGUUGGUGGGGUAGUGGCUUACCAAGGCUUUGACGGCUAGCCGGCCUGGGAGGGUGACCGGCCACAUGGGGACUGAGGUACGGCCCAGACUCCUACGGGAGGCAACAGGGGGGAAUAUUGCGCAAUGAGCGGGAGCGUGAGGCGGCAACGCCGCGUGCGUGAUAACGGCCUACGAGGUAAAAACCGAUUUCGCCUGUGACGAAGCGUGAGUGACGGUAAUGAGUAAGAAAGCACCGGCUAACUACGUG